Molecule: long non-coding RNA, 773 nt
Organism: Misgurnus anguillicaudatus (oriental weatherfish)
Lineage: Eukaryota; Metazoa; Chordata; Actinopteri; Cypriniformes; Cobitidae
Source: RefSeq, a predicted model, not a curated record
UUUUAGAAGUCGUUAAAUGAAUAGCGGAGUCCACACAACAACAAUAACUAUACAGAGAAACUAUCACUGGGUGGGAAUAUCACUGGAAUCACUUUCAGAACGAUUUUUUCUGUUUAUAAACGAUAAACAUGAGGCCGGAUAUAGAUCAACACUGGUAGUGGAGCACAUGCAGGGGUGACAGAGGUGAUUUGGUGAGACAUGUCAAGCUAAAUUAGGUGUGCUUACAACAGGUUGACCUCUCAGUAGCAGACUGGACGCGGGUGUGUCCAAUAGCAUCUCAGGAGGGGGCUUUCAACAUUAUGAUGGACACGCACAACUGCUGUCUUUUUGUGGUGACUUGAAAGGUUUCUGGGUGCCCUUAACAUAAUGCAAGACUUUUCCAUGUAUGGGCAUGCUGUUGAACCUGUAAGGUCGAUUUUAAUGCAACAGUAUUUAUUUUUUCAUGUACAGUCACGUUUAACUGAAAGUAAUGAACAUGUUUUUCUUGUAAUGUUCCACGCAAACAUGCACGGUGCAUCUACUUCAUGAUGCUACUUUGUAAUGCUGGAUCCUUAUUGUAGACAACUGUGUAGUAGUCCCAAUCUCUGUGUUAAUAGUCAAUAUAGUUUUGUAGAUAACUGAGGGACCUGAAUGAUGUUCGUAACGUCAGGAUCUAAGGUUUGAUUCCCAGGGAAUGUGUGGACUGACAAUGUAUAAACCUUAAAUGCACUGCAAGUCAUUUUGCAUGGCUCUUAUAAAUGUAUAAAACUAAAGCAUAAAUUUAAAAUACGGAA